Molecule: ribosomal RNA, 323 nt
Filed under: uncultured bacterium
Lineage: Bacteria
Description: bacterial SSU rRNA
Rfam family: Bacterial small subunit ribosomal RNA
Source: RNAcentral
GAGUUUGAUCUUGGCUCAGGAUGAACGCCGGCGGUGUGCCUAAUACACGCAAGUCGUACGCACUGGCCCAACUGAUUGAUGGUGCUUGCACCUGAUUGACGAUGGAUCACCAGUGAGUGGCGGACGGGUGAGUAACACGUAGGUAACCUGCCCCGGAGCGGGGGAUAACAUUUGGAAACAGAUGCUAAUACCGCAUAACAACAAAAGCCACAUGGCUUUUAGUUAAAGAUGGCUUUGGCUAUCACUCUGGAUGGACCUGCGUGCAUUAGCUAGUGUAGUACGCUUACCAGCAUGAUGCAUAGCCGAGUUGAGAGACUGAUCGG